Molecule: long non-coding RNA, 1046 nt
Filed under: Trifolium pratense (red clover)
Lineage: Eukaryota; Viridiplantae; Streptophyta; Magnoliopsida; Fabales; Fabaceae
Description: long non-coding RNA (TPRA_LNC007664)
Source: RNAcentral
CAUGCAUUUCCUGAAUUCUGAAUUUCACUUGUCAAUGUGUCAUUUUCAACAAAAGAUGUUAUUGCACGGAACUUCCUCAUAUCUUUCAAAAUCAAUUGGAAUAUUCUUUGCAGAAUUCAAUAGAAAGAGUAAUAUCAAUAUUUAAGUAAUGUUACACUACUCAAUAAUAUUUAAACGAUUAUAAUUUUUUUAAAAUUUACCGUUUGAUUGAAAACUUAUAUAGAUUGUACAUAUAAAAUUUUAAAGAAAUCUAAGUUAUUUGAUAGUUAAUUAGUUAUUUUUCGAUCAAGUUUCGGAUUACCAGUGUCUCGCUAAUGAUGUGCUCUUCUUUAAAUAUUCAUUUUCAAGAGUCAGAAAUAAGAAUCUACAUACUUUACGUGUAAGAAAUAAAUAACAAGUCUUGUGGGUCUCGAGCAUACACACACUAUAUAUCUUAUUUUAUAUUUUUAUAUAUGAUACAAAUUGAUCAAUACUAUGCCAACUCCAUCCCAAUUUAAAAAUGAUAUUAAUUACUGUCCGUGUCAACUUCUACCUGAGAACUACUAAAUAUGAGAGCACCUCUUACUCCUUCUCAAUCAUACAACCAGUGAUUACAACAGUAUUCAUGGUAUUCAUGCACAUAAUCAAGGUAUUCAUGCCCUAAUUAAUCAGAGGAGUUUUGCUGCACUUGCUUGCUUAUUUGUUGAAACAACAAAUCUUCUAGUUAAAUUGGAAUGGAGCCUAAGUAAAUAUUCAAAAUACCAUCUCGUUUUUAUUUUAAACUUUUACUAUGUUUUGUAGUUCAAUAUAUUAACAUGUUAUACGAUAUACUCUCUAUAUUAAUACAUCUUACUCUUUUAAAAUCAUCCUUCUAAUCACCCUUUCGUCCAAAUUAGAGACUAAAAUGGAUGGAAAGGAAACCCCUUAGUUACUCUUGUAAAAUCAAUGUAUUUCAUUUUUUUUUUAAAACCCUUAAUAAUUGAUUUUCAAGGUCAAUUUCAAGUGUGUUUUUGAAAAUUCAUGGAUAAUGAACGUACAAUAAUAUCCACCAUUCACUGUUUAGGCCU